Molecule: ribosomal RNA, 253 nt
Filed under: uncultured bacterium
Lineage: Bacteria
Description: partial 16S ribosomal RNA
Rfam family: Bacterial small subunit ribosomal RNA
Source: RNAcentral
UACGGAGGGGGCUAGCGUUGUUCGGAAUUACUGGGCGUAAAGCGCACGUAGGCGGCUGCUCACGUCGGGUGUGAAAGCUCAGGGCUCAACCCUGAGAUGCCAUUCGAUACGGGUCGGCUAGAGGUAGGUAGGGGAGAGUGGAAUUGCUGGUGUAGCGGUGAAAUGCGCAGAUAUCAGGAGGAACACCGGUGGCGAAGGCGGCUCUCUGGGCCUUACCUGACGCUGAGGCGCGAAAGCUGGGGGAGCGAACAGG